Long non-coding RNA from Prionailurus viverrinus (fishing cat), 784 nucleotides. RefSeq lists it as uncharacterized. The transcript has 3 exons. NCBI's taxonomy places the organism in Eukaryota, Metazoa, Chordata, Mammalia, Carnivora, Felidae. The record is from RefSeq and is a predicted model, not a curated record.
UUAAGCAGGUUCUGCACUGACAGCAGAGAGCCCGACGCGGGGCCCGAACUCAAAACCCACGAGAUCAUGACCGGAACCGAAGUCGGAUGCUUAACCGCUGAGCCACCCGGCCGGCCCCUAAGGGGAUUUAAUCUGACCUACGAUUUCUUUCUUGCCUUUGUUCCCCCAUCACUAUGGAGGCGAGAGUGAUGUUGGCGCUCCAGGAAACUGAGUCAAUAGGUUUUUCUGGAGAUUGGACUGUUGACAAGGUUGCCUUUUUCUUGUCAUUUGCUAAGAUAUCCGAAACUGAUGGAGACUCACGUCGGGCACGACCUGAUCUCUUGGCGGGACCGCCCUCAAGGAAGCCCCCCUGAGCCCCUUGGCCUGGGUCACGGUCCCCUCGGGGCUCCCCCAGCCGUGUCCUGACUACUCUGUCAGUCACAGGUCAGCCACUUUUGGUGGAUUUCCUUUCAAAACGUAUCCUGGAGGCACCUGCCCCUCCCCACCUCCACCUGCUAGCCCUGGGGGAGCCAACAUCACCUCCCGCUGGGGCGCCCUGGGGCCUGCCCCACCUCCGUCCCCUGCCGCCUGUUCCCAUCAACGCCACCAGGGGGCGCCAGCCCCUCUUCUGCUCAGAACCCUCCAGGGCUCCCGGAUUAGUCUAAGCAGAGUCCUCACUGGGGACCCCUAGGGCCCACAUGUUCUGGCCCCCUCCCUUAUCUCCGAUCUUACCCCUCCUCACAGAGUUUUGUUUUUUUUUUUAACUAAGGGAUAAUACACAUAACAGAAAUUAAUCAUUUUAAAU